This 217-nucleotide long non-coding RNA is filed under the name Mus pahari (shrew mouse). Its description in RNAcentral is "predicted gene 12145 (MGP_PahariEiJ_G0004588.1)". Lineage: Eukaryota; Metazoa; Chordata; Mammalia; Rodentia; Muridae. The record is from RNAcentral.
GAUUAUGAUGUAUUCCUGUUCAUGGGCACUAGAGGAGGUUAGCAGAGCUAGAGGUGGACUGAGCCCUCUCCCAGGCUUGUCCAAACAGCUCUCCUGAAAGCACUCAUGCUUUAUGAACUGAUCCCAAUGAUUUUUCCAGGAUCAUUUAUAUUGGUCUCUUGUCUAGGAACAUGAUUGCAGAGAUUAGGUUUUCAAAGCAAUCCAUUGGAUACCUGAA